Molecule: ribosomal RNA, 1887 nt
Filed under: Salmonella enterica
Lineage: Bacteria; Pseudomonadati; Pseudomonadota; Gammaproteobacteria; Enterobacterales; Enterobacteriaceae
Description: partial 23S ribosomal RNA
Rfam family: Bacterial large subunit ribosomal RNA
Source: RNAcentral
UAAGUGGGAAACGAUGUGGGAAGGCCCAGACAGCCAGGAUGUUGGCUUAGAAGCAGCCAUCAUUUAAAGAAAGCGUAAUAGCUCACUGGUCGAGUCGGCCUGCGCGGAAGAUGUAACGGGGCUAAACCAUGCACCGAAGCUGCGGCAGCGACACUAUGUGUUGUUGGGUAGGGGAGCGUUCUGUAAGCCUGUGAAGGUGGCCUGUGAGGGUUGCUGGAGGUAUCAGAAGUGCGAAUGCUGACAUAAGUAACGAUAAAGCGGGUGAAAAGCCCGCUCGCCGGAAGACCAAGGGUUCCUGUCCAACGUUAAUCGGGGCAGGGUGAGUCGACCCCUAAGGCGAGGCCGAAAGGCGUAGUCGAUGGGAAACGGGUUAAUAUUCCCGUACUUGGUGUUACUGCGAAGGGGGGACGGAGAAGGCUAUGUUGGCCGGGCGACGGUUGUCCCGGUUUAAGCGUGUAGGUGUGUGUUCCAGGUAAAUCCGGUUCACUUUAACACUGAGGCGUGAUGACGAGGCACUACGGUGCUGAAGCAACAAAUGCCCUGCUUCCAGGAAAAGCCUCUAAGCAUCAGGUAACAUCAAAUCGUACCCCAAACCGACACAGGUGGUCAGGUAGAGAAUACCAAGGCGCUUGAGAGAACUCGGGUGAAGGAACUAGGCAAAAUGGUGCCGUAACUUCGGGAGAAGGCACGCUGACAUGUAGGUGAAGUGAUUUACUCAUGGAGCUGAAGUCAGUCGAAGAUACCAGCUGGCUGCAACUGUUUAUUAAAAACACAGCACUGUGCAAACACGAAAGUGGACGUAUACGGUGUGACGCCUGCCCGGUGCCGGAAGGUUAAUUGAUGGGGUCAGCGCAAGCGAAGCUCCUGAUCGAAGCCCCGGUAAACGGCGGCCGUAACUAUAACGGUCCUAAGGUAGCGAAAUUCCUUGUCGGGUAAGUUCCGACCUGCACGAAUGGCGUAAUGAUGGCCAGGCUGUCUCCACCCGAGACUCAGUGAAAUUGAACUCGCUGUGAAGAUGCAGUGUACCCGCGGCAAGACGGAAAGACCCCGUGAACCUUUACUAUAGCUUGACACUGAACAUUGAGCCUUGAUGUGUAGGAUAGGUGGGAGGCUUUGAAGUGUGGACGCCAGUCUGCAUGGAGCCGACCUUGAAAUACCACCCUUUAAUGUUUGAUGUUCUAACGUGGACCCGUAAUCCGGGUUGCGGACAGUGUCUGGUGGGUAGUUUGACUGGGGCGGUCUCCUCCUAAAGAGUAACGGAGGAGCACGAAGGUUGGCUAAUCCUGGUCGGACAUCAGGAGGUUAGUGCAAUGGCAUAAGCCAGCUUGACUGCGAGCGUGACGGCGCGAGCAGGUGCGAAAGCAGGUCAUAGUGAUCCGGUGGUUCUGAAUGGAAGGGCCAUCGCUCAACGGAUAAAAGGUACUCCGGGGAUAACAGGCUGAUACCGCCCAAGAGUUCAUAUCGACGGCGGUGUUUGGCACCUCGAUGUCGGCUCAUCACAUCCUGGGGCUGAAGUAGGUCCCAAGGGUAUGGCUGUUCGCCAUUUAAAGUGGUACGCGAGCUGGGUUUAGAACGUCGUGAGACAGUUCGGUCCCUAUCUGCCGUGGGCGCUGGAGAACUGAGGGGGGCUGCUCCUAGUACGAGAGGACCGGAGUGGACGCAUCACUGGUGUUCGGGUUGUCAUGCCAAUGGCACUGCCCGGUAGCUAAAUGCGGAAGAGAUAAGUGCUGAAAGCAUCUAAGCACGAAACUUGCCCCGAGAUGAGUUCUCCCUGAGACUUUAAGUCUCCUGAAGGAACGUUGAAGACGACGACGUUGAUAGGCCGGGUGUGUAAGCGCAGCGAUGCGUUGAGCUAACCGGUACUAAUGAACCGUGAGGCUUAACCUU